Molecule: ribosomal RNA, 460 nt
Filed under: uncultured bacterium
Lineage: Bacteria
Description: partial 16S ribosomal RNA
Rfam family: Bacterial small subunit ribosomal RNA
Source: RNAcentral
CCUACGGGAGGCUGCAGUGAGGAAUAUUUGUCAAUGGACGAGAGUCUGAACCAGCCAAGUAGCGUGAAGGAUGACUGCCCUAUGGGUUGUAACCUUCUUUUAUAAAGGAAUACAACGAGGCACGUGUGCCUUUUUGCAUGUACUUUAUGAAUAAGGAUCGGCUAACUCCGUGCCAGCAGCCGCGGUAAUACGGAGGAUCCGAUCGUUAUCCGGAUUUAUUGGGUUUAAAGGGAGCGUAGAUGGGUUGUUAAGUCAGUUGUGAAAGUUUGCGGCUCAACCGUAAAAUUGCAAUUGAUACUGGCAGUCUUGAGUACAGUUGAGGUAGGCGGAAUUCGUGGUGUAGCGGUGAAAUGCUUAGAUAUCACGAAGAACCCCGAUUGCGAAGGCAGCUUACUAAACUGUGACUGACAUUGAUGCUCGAAAGUGUGGGUAUCAAACAGGAUUAGAUACCCGAGUAGUC